Dipodomys spectabilis (banner-tailed kangaroo rat) is the source of this 503-nucleotide long non-coding RNA. RefSeq lists it as uncharacterized. The record is from RefSeq and is a predicted model, not a curated record. NCBI's taxonomy places the organism in Eukaryota, Metazoa, Chordata, Mammalia, Rodentia, Heteromyidae. The transcript is spliced from 4 exons.
UCUUAGCAUCACCAGUUACCAAGUACACAUAGGACCAAGCUCCAGCUUGCAAUAAAUGACUCUUUGCUGUUUGCAUUGAUCAUGGUCUCUGGUGGUCUGAGAGGGGGCGUCCGAAAUCUGAGCACUUUAUGUGGGAGCUUGUCCGGGAUAGCCCCCCCAUAAGCCACACAGAUACCUGAUCAGCGAGUCAUCCAGCUAGCCGGUGGGAUUCAAAAGAUCCGUUGAUGAAUUGCCUUGCUAAACAAGCGAGCCCUGGGAAAAUGAAGCUUAACAAAGGUGAAAAUCAUCUGUAAAGUUUGCUGGCACUCAUCCCAGUUGUGCGUGUGUGUGAAAAUUACUGUCUCUAAUGAGAUCACCAUGAUACACUUAAUAACCAGCAGUGACCCUAUCAUCCAUGGGAACAGAUAGUCAUCAUGGCCUCCUGGUCUGGACCACAGGAGAGGCGGGUGCAUGCAGCUGAAGGGAGCAGCACAUGCUGCUGAAGGAGAUAGGUUGUCAAGCCC